GACGAACGCUGGCGGCGUGCUUAACACAUGCGAGUCGAACGGAAAGGCCCUGCUUUUGUGGGGUGCUCGAGUGGCGAACGGGUGAGUAACACGUGAGUAACCUGCCCUUGACUUUGGGAUAACUUCAGGAAACUGGGGCUAAUACCGGAUAGGAGCUCCUGCUGCAUGGUGGGGGUUGGAAAGUUUCGGCGGUUGGGGAUGGACUCGCGGCUUAUCAGCUUGUUGGUGGGGUAGUGGCUUACCAAGGCUUUGACGGGUAGCCGGCCUGAGAGGGUGACCGGCGACACUGGGACUGGGAUACGGCCCGGACUCCUCCGGGGGGCAGCGGUGGGGAAUAUUGCCCAAUGGGCGGAGGCCUGAUGCAGCAACGCCGCGUGGGGAAGGACGGCCUUCGGGUUGUAAACCGCUUUCGCCUGUGACGAGGCGUAAGGAACGGUAAUGGGUAAAAAGGCACGGGCAAACUAGGU
This 467-nucleotide ribosomal RNA is filed under the name uncultured bacterium. RNAcentral describes it as "partial 16S ribosomal RNA". It matches the Rfam family "Bacterial small subunit ribosomal RNA", at positions 28 to 506 of the family's 1533-position model. The record is from RNAcentral.